RNAcentral lists this ribosomal RNA (1026 nucleotides) under Lactiplantibacillus sp. RNAcentral's name for it is "partial 16S ribosomal RNA". It matches the Rfam family "Bacterial small subunit ribosomal RNA", at positions 27 to 1014 of the family's 1533-position model. The record is from RNAcentral. Lineage: Bacteria; Bacillati; Bacillota; Bacilli; Lactobacillales; Lactobacillaceae.
GGCCGAACCCUGACGGCUUGCCUAUAUUGCAGUCGAACGAACUCUGGUAUUGAUUGGUGCUUGCUUCAUGAUUUACUUUUGAGUGAGUGGCAAACUGGUGAUUAACACGUGGGAAACCUGCCCAAAACCGGGGGAUAACACCUGGAAACAAAUGCUAAUACCGCAUAACAACUUGGACCGCUUGGCCCAAGUUUGAAAAAUGGCUUCGGCUAUCACUUUUGAAUGGCCCCCCGGCGUAUUACCUAAAUGGUGGGGAAACGGUUCCCCUGGGCAAUGAUACUUACCCAACCGGAAAGGGUAUCCGGCCCCAUUGGGACUGAAACCCGGCCCAAACUCCUACGGGAGGCACCAUUAGGGAAUCUUCCCCAAGGGACAAAAGUCUGAUGGACCACCCCCCCGUGAGUGAAAAAGGGUUUCGGCUCUUAAAACUCUGUUGUUAAAAAAAACCAUUUCUGAAAGUAACUGUUCAGGUAUUGACGGAAUUUAACCAAAAAGCCACGGCUAACUACUUGCCACCACCCGCGGUAAUACUUAGGUGGCAAGCGUUGUCCGGAUUUAUUGGGCGUAAAGCAAGCGCAGGCGGUUUUUUAAUUCUGAUGUGAAACCCUUCGGCUCAACCAAAAAAUUGCAUCGAAAACUGGGAAACUUGAUUGCAAAAAAGGACAUUGAAACUCCUUGUGUAGCGUUGAAAUGCUUAAAUAUAUGGAAGACCACCAUUGGCGAAGGCGGCUGUCUGGUCUGUAACUGACCCUAAGGCUCAAAGUAUGGGUAGCAAACAGAAUUAAAUACCCUGGUAGUCAUCACCGUAAACAAUGAAUGCUAGGUGUUGGAAGGGUUUCCGCCCUUCAUUGCUGCAGCUAACCGCUUUAAGCAUUCCCCUUGGGGGAGUACGCCGCAAGGGCUGAAAACUCAAGGAAUUGACUGGGGCCCCGCACAAGCGGUGGAAGCAUGUGGUUUAAUUCUUAUCUUACGCGAAGAACCUUAACCAGGUCUUGCCUUCUUUGCUAAUUUUAAAAACAUAAAACU